UAGCUAGUUGGUGAGGUAAAGGCUUACCAAGGCGACGAUCUGUAGCGGGUCUGAGAGGAUGAUCCGCCACACUGGAACUGAGACACGGUCCAGACUCCUACGGGAGGCAGCAGUGGGGAAUUUUGGACAAUGGGGGCAACCCUGAUCCAGCCAUGCCGCGUGAGUGAAGAAGGCCUUCGGGUUGUAAAGCUCUUUCGGCCGGGAAGAAAUCGCAUGGGCCAAUACCCUGUGUGGAUGACGGUACCGGAAUAAGAAGCACCGGCUAACUACGUGCCAGCAGCCGCGGUAAUACGUAGGGUGCGAGCGUUAAUCGGAAUUACUGGGCGUAAAGCGUGCGCAGGCGGUUUUGUAAGACAGGCGUGAAAUCCCCGGGCUUAACCUGGGAACUGCGUUUGUGACUGCAGGGCUAGAGUACGGCAGAGGGGGGUGGAAUUCCACGUGUAGCAGUGAAAUGCGUAGAGAUGUGGAGGAACACCAAUGGCGAAGGCAGCCCCCUGGGUCGAUACUGACGCUCAUGCACGAAAGCGUGGGUAGCAAACAGGAUUAGAUACCCUGGUAGUCCACGCCCUAAACUAUGUCAACUAGGUGUUGGGUGGGUAAAACCAUUUAGUACCGUAGCUAACGCGUGAAGUUGACCGCCUGGGGAGUACGGCCGCAAGGUUAAAACUCAAAGGAAUUGACGGGGACCCGCACAAGCGGUGGAUGAUGUGGAUUAAUUCGAUGCAACGCGAAAAACCUUACCUACCCUUGACAUGCCAGGAACUUGCCAGAGAUGGCUUGGUGCCCGAAAGGGAGCCUGGACACAGGUGCUGCAUGGCUGUCGUCAGCUCGUGUCGUGAGAUGUUGGGUUAAGUCCCGCAACGAGCGCAACCCUUGUCGUUAAUUGCCAUCAUUUAGUUGGGCACUUUAACGAGACUGCCGGUGACAAACCGGAGGAAGGUGGGGAUGACGUCAAGUCCUCAUGGCCCUUAUGGGUAGGGCUUCACACGUCAUACAAUGGUCGGUACAAAGGGUUGCCAAGCCGCGAGGCGGAGCCAAUCCCAGAAAGCCGAUCGUAGUCCGGAUUGCAGGCUGCAACUCGCCUGCAUGAAGUCGGAAUCGCUAGUAAUCGUGGAUCAGCAUGUCACGGUGAAUACGUUCCCGGGUCUUGUACACACCGCCCGUCACACCAUGGGAGCGGGUUCCGCCAGAAGUAGGUAGCCUAACCGCAAGGGGGGCGCUUACCACGGCGGGGUUCGUGACUGGGGUGAAGUCGUAACAAGGUAGCCGUAGGGGAACCUGCGGCUG
RNAcentral lists this ribosomal RNA (1287 nucleotides) under metagenome. RNAcentral describes it as "bacterial SSU rRNA". It matches the Rfam family "Bacterial small subunit ribosomal RNA", at positions 242 to 1520 of the family's 1533-position model. The record is from RNAcentral.